AUACGGAGGAUCCAAGCGUUAUCCGGAUUUAUUGGGUUUAAAGGGUGCGCAGGCGGUAUUAUAAGUCAGUGGUGAAAUCUGGAGGCUCAACCUCCAAACUGCCAUUGUUACUGUAGUACUAGAGUACAGACGAAGUAGGCGGGAUGUAGCAUGUAGCGGUGAAAUGCUUAGAUAUGCUACAGAACACCGAUCGCGAAGGCAGCUUACUAGACUGUUACUGACGCUAAUGCACGAAAGCGUGGGGAGCGAACAGGAUUAGAAACCCCGGUAGUCC
This 274-nucleotide ribosomal RNA is filed under the name uncultured bacterium. RNAcentral's name for it is "partial 16S ribosomal RNA". It matches the Rfam family "Bacterial small subunit ribosomal RNA", at positions 523 to 796 of the family's 1533-position model. The record is from RNAcentral.